AUUGAACGCUGGCGGAAUGCUUUACACAUGCAAGUCGAACGGCAGCACGGGGGCAACCCUGGUGGCGAGUGGCGAACGGGUGAGUAAUACAUCGGAACGUGCCCGGUCGUGGGGGAUAACGUAGCGAAAGUUACGCUAAUACCGCAUACGAUCUGAGGAUGAAAGCGGGGGACCUUCGGGCCUCGCGCGAUCGGAGCGGCCGAUGUCAGAUUAGGUAGUUGGUGGGGUAAAGGCCUACCAAGCCGACGAUCUGUAGCUGGUCUGAGAGGACGACCAGCCACACUAGGACUGAAACACGGCCCAGACGCCUACGGAAGGCAGCAGUGGGGAAUUUUGGACAAUGGGCGCAAGCCUGAUCCAGCCAUUCCGCGUGCAGGACGAAGGCCUUCGGGUUGUAGACUGCUUUUGUAUGGAACGAAAAGGCUCUGGCUAAUACCUGGGGCUCAUAACGGUACCGGAAGAAUAAGCACCGGCUAACUACGUG
Molecule: ribosomal RNA, 484 nt
Filed under: uncultured bacterium
Lineage: Bacteria
Description: partial 16S ribosomal RNA
Rfam family: Bacterial small subunit ribosomal RNA
Source: RNAcentral